RNAcentral lists this ribosomal RNA (405 nucleotides) under Acanthamoeba genotype T4. RNAcentral's name for it is "SSU rRNA". It matches the Rfam family "Eukaryotic small subunit ribosomal RNA", at positions 787 to 1095 of the family's 1831-position model. The record is from RNAcentral. Lineage: Eukaryota; Discosea; Longamoebia; Acanthamoebidae.
UUCUGGCACCGAAUACAUUAGCAUGGGAUAAUGGAAUAGGACCCUGUCCUCCUAUUUUCAGUUGGUUUUGGCAGCGCGAGGACUAGGGUAAUGAUUAAUAGGGAUAGUUGGGGGCAUUAAUAUUUAAUUGUCAGAGGUGAAAUUCUUGGAUUUAUGAAAGAUUAACUUCUGCGAAAGCAUCUGCCAAGGAUGUUUUCAUUAAUCAAGAACGAAAGUUAGGGGAUCGAAGACGAUCAGAUACCGUCGUAGUCUUAACCAUAAACGAUGCCGACCAGCGAUUAGGAGACGUUGAAUACAAAACACCACCAUCGGUGCGGUCGUCCUUGGCGUCGGUCUUUCGGGGCCGGCGCGGGGACGGCUUAGCCCGGUGGCACCGGUGAAUGACUCCCCUAGCAGCUUGUGAGA